Molecule: long non-coding RNA, 324 nt
Filed under: Mytilus galloprovincialis (Mediterranean mussel)
Lineage: Eukaryota; Metazoa; Mollusca; Bivalvia; Mytilida; Mytilidae
Source: RNAcentral
GAAACAUCUAUGUUUAAUCUAUAAAAUAAAAUUAAACAGACCUAUAAAAAUCCAAUUGCAGGUAUUGGUUUAAUCUAUUCAUAUCUUUAUUUAUGUUUACAUCGCUUAUAUGGUCAUCUGAGGUCAAAUCGAUAGGUAAUUAGAUGGCGUCUGGACUAAAAUACACACGAACAAACCUAUAUAUUAUUUACCCCAUGCUCUGUACACUGUUUAUUUUAGACUUUUGAUAGUUUGGAUAAAUGUUUUACAUUGUUAUAAAUCAAAUGAGAAUUUGAGUCAAAUCGCUGACCUUGAAUUUGACAGCUAGUGCCCCUUUAAACCAUC